CAAAAUAUUUUUCUGGCAGCCCCUUUUUGCGCAAGUUUCAGUUGACUUCAACGGUGUGUUGUUAUUGUCAGAGUGAAUAGAUAGUUAUUGUAUUUAAAUUUAAAACAAGUUCGUUUGAUAAAGUUUGAUAGAGAUAGAUAAAAUGAAGUGCGUUUUGUGUAAUAACAAAAAACAAAAAACAGUAAGGAAUGUGAGUUUUUUUCGGUUCCCGAAGAAUCCGAUUCAGACAGUGGAUGGAUUUUUGUUGUCUCCCAGCAGACUAUUUCAUUGACGAAAACACCCGACUGUGCAGUCUUCACUUCAAUUACGAGCAAGACCUGUACGUGGCCACAGCCGGCGGGAGGCUAAGAGCUAUGCCGGGUGUGCUCCUGGUUUUCCAAAUUGUGCCGGAUUUCAGUGAAACAAACCAGGACGAUUGCAUGGAAGAGCCUUCUUGCGACGUUGAAACUGUUGCUGCUGCUGAGACUUCUGCUGUUGCUGGGACUAAUAAGCGGGAGCUAAUAAGUUUGACAGCCGUUCCAUGGCAGUAUAGCUUAUGUCGUAGUUUCUUGCGUAUAAAACAUAAAAAAUUGAAAUUGAGGCAAAUAAACUGUUUUUCGUACUUUUGUCUAAUUGUU
Long non-coding RNA from Wyeomyia smithii (pitcher-plant mosquito), 617 nucleotides. RefSeq lists it as uncharacterized. The record is from RefSeq and is a predicted model, not a curated record. NCBI's taxonomy places the organism in Eukaryota, Metazoa, Arthropoda, Insecta, Diptera, Culicidae. The transcript has 3 exons.